UGAGGAAUAUUGGACAAUGGGCGCAAGCCUGAUCCAGCCAUGCCGCGUGCAGGAUGACGGUCCUAUGGAUUGUAAACUGCUUUUAUACAGGAAGAAACACUGGUUCGUGAACCAGCUUGACGGUACUGUAAGAAUAAGGAUCGGCUAACUCCGUGCCAGCAGCCGCGGUAAUACGGAGGAUCCAAGCGUUAUCCGGAAUCAUUGGGUUUAAAGGGUCCGUAGGCGGUUUGGUAAGUCAGUGGUGAAAGCC
This 250-nucleotide ribosomal RNA is filed under the name uncultured bacterium. RNAcentral describes it as "partial 16S ribosomal RNA". It matches the Rfam family "Bacterial small subunit ribosomal RNA", at positions 355 to 602 of the family's 1533-position model. The record is from RNAcentral.